RNAcentral lists this long non-coding RNA (693 nucleotides) under Androctonus crassicauda. The record is from RNAcentral. Lineage: Eukaryota; Metazoa; Arthropoda; Arachnida; Scorpiones; Buthidae.
CAACAUCCGGUUUCUCAUCCUUCCAGGAGUAACCUGCAAUACAUUUUGGAAUAGACUGUACAUCACAUAGAGCGGUUGAUGAUGGCUGGUGGGUCGGGGGUGCUUCUGUUAUUGAGGGUUUUUUUGAGAGUUAAUCCUUCUCUCUUCAGUUUGUUCCUACAAAUUUCAACCCCGUUAGCGGAAUUUCAUUCCCACGAUACACUCAUCCUUAAAUUAGCUAUCAAGCUGGGGGAGGUUCCCAGGCUACCCUAUCAUUGAUCGAUCUUUCUUCUCUCGACCUCCUCAGUAUUUCUAUAGAUUCGGUACAACUGGUUGUGUGCGGUUCGGUAUGGGUUUGGUCUGUUUAGCCUCCUUCCAAUCUAUACUGGUGUUUUUAUUGUAGGCUGCUGAGGCUGAUGAUGUGCUGGGCUUUGCUUGCAUUAUGUCUCUCUUGUGUUCCAUCAUACAUCUUCCUAUUGUUCUCGAGGUCACCCCGGUAUAUGCUGACUUUUCACCGUAUAUUGGUGUUUAGUGUCCUAAAGAAUGAGAAGGACCUGCUGAAACAGGAAGAAAGGAAAGGUGUGUAUAGUGUCCUUAUAACUGACAACAAUUCGAAUGAAAGGUCAGCAUAUAUUGGAGUGACUUCGGGAAUGAUGGGAAGGUGUAUGAUGGAACACAGGAGGCAUAAUGCAAGCAAAGCUUAGCAUAUCAUUA